GGUGGCGUAGCUCAGCUGGAUAGAGCAUCUGCCUUCUAAGCAGACGGUCGCAGGUUCGAAUCCUGCCGCCAUCACCA
Molecule: transfer RNA, 77 nt
Filed under: Pseudobdellovibrionaceae bacterium
Lineage: Bacteria; Pseudomonadati; Bdellovibrionota; Bdellovibrionia; Bdellovibrionales; Pseudobdellovibrionaceae
Description: Bdellovibrionaceae bacterium tRNA-Arg
Rfam family: tRNA
About the family: Transfer RNA (tRNA) molecules are approximately 80 nucleotides in length.
Source: RNAcentral